RNAcentral lists this ribosomal RNA (244 nucleotides) under uncultured bacterium. Its description in RNAcentral is "partial small subunit ribosomal RNA". It matches the Rfam family "Bacterial small subunit ribosomal RNA", at positions 26 to 286 of the family's 1533-position model. The record is from RNAcentral.
AGAAUCAACGCUGGCGGCGUGCCUAACACAUGCAAGUCGAACGAGAAAGUGGAGCAAUCCAUGAGUAAAGUGGCGCACGGGUGAGUAACACGUGACUACCUACCCUUGAGUGGGGGAUAACCUAGGGAACCUGGGCUAAUACCGCAUAAUACCUACGGGUCAAAGGAGCAAUUCGCUUAAGGAGGGGGUCGCGGCCGAUUAGUUAGUUGGCGGGGUAAUGGCCCACCAAGACGAUGAUCGGUAU